UUGAGUUCAAGAAGUACGUGAAACCGUGUGGGAGUAAACGGGUGGUUCCCGAAAGUACGAAAGGGGAGAUUCAGGUCUCGCCGCGCGUCGGGAGGCGCCCGCGAACGGAGAUGGUGUCCACGCUGCCGGGGGGUGACCCCCGGUCUCGCGGGGGGGUGACCCCCGGUCUCGCGGGGGCUCCACUCCGCGGGCGUCUUCUUAUCCGGCGCCGGAGCGACGCACUUCUCCCCCCUGUAGAACGUCGCGACCCGUCGGUCGCCGGCCUAAGGCCCCGGGAGGAGCCUCGCGUCUCUCGGGACGCGUCUGCGAGACCCUGGGGGUCCCGGCCGGGUGCCCGACGGAAGGAAGAGAGGAAGGAGUCGACGCGCCGACCUAUCGAUCGGCGUCCGGCCCUCUGCAAGCGCCCGCGGGAGUGCGGUUCCGGGCCUGGCCCGCUGCCGCGCCCNCCGCGGGGCUGUUUGCGAUUACGGAGGUGUCCUCGGAC
This 484-nucleotide ribosomal RNA is filed under the name Procordulia grayi. Its description in RNAcentral is "partial 28S ribosomal RNA". The record is from RNAcentral. Lineage: Eukaryota; Metazoa; Arthropoda; Insecta; Odonata; Corduliidae.